Molecule: long non-coding RNA, 1371 nt
Filed under: Homo sapiens (human)
Lineage: Eukaryota; Metazoa; Chordata; Mammalia; Primates; Hominidae
Description: long non-coding RNA NONHSAT208235.1
Source: RNAcentral
UUUCUGGAGUCUGAAAUGUUAAGUAUGGAGGCAAAAGCUGAAGCUGGAGCAACAGUCUCAGAAUAUGACAACAACCAUGAGAAUGGAGGCCAUUCAUAGCAGAACUACGAGACAAGAGGAGCCUAGGUCCCUGAGCUGCAGAACUGCAUACUAACCUGGUGAGAAGACUAAUGCUCAGUGAGGUGAACUCCUUCAGGGCCACAGGCUGUAAAGAUCUAAACACCAUCUGAUCCAGUUUCAAUAUGACUGCCUGGAUGAAGAAGGAUUUGAGACUAAGUUUAUUCCUCCAAAGCAAACCAACUGAGAAUGCAGGGACAGGGUCUUGCUAUGUUGCCCAGGCCAGUCUCAAACUCCUGGGUUCAAGCAAUCCACUCGCCUUGGCCUCUUAAAGCACUGGGAUUACAAGCGUGAACCACCAUGCCUGGCUGAAGAUUCAAGUUUUUAAAACAUCUGAUUUCCACUUGAAACCUUGAAUUGUAUCAUUGGCAACAAAUAAUGUCAGUUAUUUUCCUUGAGAUGACAACUUCACUUAGUUAUUUUCAAGAAAACUGCUGCCAUGUAGCCAACUGUGAAUGACCACAGUUUGCCUGUCAGUCAUUCUGUCAAGUAAAAUGGUGCUCCUCAAACAAAGCAGCACGUUUAGCUCACAACUCAACAACCACACAGCAGUCUUCCUCCCACCCACCAUGGCACUUAUAUUAAUAUAAGCAGCAGAGGUGCUUUAUGUAUGAGUAUUGUGUGAAAAUACUCAAAAGACCUGUAACCAAGGGUCAAGAUUACUACAAUUAAUUUCUACUGCUUCUGAGGACCUUGGCUCAUUUCAAAAUCUGGAAAUAUAUUUGAACACCUCUCCCAGAAGUGGGUAAGAAGUUAGAAUAAUGGAAAGGCUUGGCUCCAAGUUCAGUUGAAUGUCAAAAAGCCCAAGUUUGGCUGAAUGGACUUUGUGUCGUGAAAUCUCAGCUCCCUCUCUCUUCUUCCAGGCCAAAUACCUACUGGAUGAAACUGAUAAAAUUAAACAAAGAGAGAGUUUCAAUGCAACCCAUCAUCAAAGGGAAGGAGUUGAUGAAAAGAAAUGAAAUUGAAACGUGCACCUGGGGAGAAGUGAUUGAAGGUUCUUCAUUUAAGGGAUUGGCUCCUUUUCUCUUAUUAUACUGUGAAAUCUGAAAACAUCUCUUGAAAUUCUGGUCACUGUCUUCUGGACAUCCCAAGGCGCACCAUCUCCACAGUUCCUCCCUCCUAGAUUAUCCCAUCCAGUGUGGCAUCCAGUGUGGCAAAUGGAAAGACUCUUCCAGUGGGCAACUGAAAAGGACACCAAAGAAAGCAGAUACAGCCCAUGAUCAAAGAAGCACAUAACUUCAGUUUGGAACAUGA